Molecule: ribosomal RNA, 240 nt
Filed under: uncultured Lactobacillus sp.
Lineage: Bacteria; Bacillati; Bacillota; Bacilli; Lactobacillales; Lactobacillaceae
Description: partial 16S ribosomal RNA
Rfam family: Bacterial small subunit ribosomal RNA
Source: RNAcentral
UAACCUGCCCAAGAGAUCGGGAUAACACCUGGAAACAGAUGCUAAUACCGGAUAACAACAGAUGAUGCCUAUCAACUGUUUAAAAGAUGGUUCUGCUAUCACUCUUGGAUGGACCUGCGGUGCAUUAGCUAGUUGGUAGGGUAACGGCCUACCAAGGCGAUGAUGCAUAGCCGAGUUGAGAUACUGAUCGGCCACAUUGGGACUGAGACACGGCCCAAACUCCUACGGGAGGCAGCAGGC